Molecule: unclassified non-coding RNA, 203 nt
Filed under: Basidiomycota sp.
Lineage: Eukaryota; Fungi; Basidiomycota
Description: partial contains small subunit ribosomal RNA, internal transcribed spacer 1, and 5.8S ribosomal RNA
Rfam family: Eukaryotic small subunit ribosomal RNA (bases 1-47)
Source: RNAcentral
AAAGUCGUAACAAGGUUUCCGUAGGUGAACCUGCGGAAGGAUCAUUAACAAAUUCAUCCACACACUGACGUCCCACUCGGGACGCUACAACUAGCGUCACGAGUGGUGUACUCAACCACACACACACACUUUACUUGAUUGACAACACCUAGUGAUAUCUAGUUAACGGUAGACAACUUUUAACAAUGGAUCUCUUGGCUCUU